RNAcentral lists this ribosomal RNA (468 nucleotides) under uncultured bacterium. Its description in RNAcentral is "partial 16S ribosomal RNA". It matches the Rfam family "Bacterial small subunit ribosomal RNA", at positions 28 to 507 of the family's 1533-position model. The record is from RNAcentral.
GACGAACGCUGGCGGCGUGCUUAACACAUGCAAGUCGAACGGAAAGGCCCUGCUUUUGUGGGGUGCUCGAGUGGCGAACGGGUGAGUAACACGUGAGUAACCUGCCCUUGACUUUGGGAUAACUUCAGGAAACUGGGGCUAAUAACGGAUAGGAGCUCCUGCUGCAUGGUGGGGGUUGGAAAGUUUCGGCGGUUGGGGAUGGACUCGCGGCUUAUCAGCUUGUUGGUGGGGUAGUGGCUUACCAAGGCUUUGACGGGUAGCCGGCCUGAGAGGGUGACCGGCCACAUUGGGACUGAGAUACGGCCCAGACUCCUACGGGAGGCAGCAGUGGGGAAUAUUGCACAAUGGGCGGAAGCCUGAUGCAGCAACGCCGCGUGCGGGAUGACGGCCUUCGGGUUGUAAACCGCUUUCGCCUGUGACGAAGCGUGAGUGGCGGUAAUGGGUAAAGAAGCACCGGCUAACUACGUG